Molecule: microRNA precursor, 124 nt
Filed under: Hordeum vulgare
Lineage: Eukaryota; Viridiplantae; Streptophyta; Magnoliopsida; Poales; Poaceae
Description: microRNA MIR1122
Rfam family: MIR1120/MIR1122 microRNA precursor family
Source: RNAcentral
UUAGUACUCCCUCCGUCCGAAAAUACUUGUCCUAGAGAUGAAUGUAUCUAGACUUAUUUUAGUUAUAGAUACAUCCAUUAUAUCCAUUUCCAGGACAAGUAUUUCCGGACGGAGGAAGUACUUC